Molecule: ribosomal RNA, 252 nt
Filed under: Negativibacillus massiliensis
Lineage: Bacteria; Bacillati; Bacillota
Description: partial 16S ribosomal RNA
Rfam family: Bacterial small subunit ribosomal RNA
Source: RNAcentral
UACGGAGGAUUCAAGCGUUAUCCGGAUUUAUUGGGUUUAAAGGGAGCGUAGGCGGGGAGGCAAGUUGAAUGUCUAAACUAUCGGCUCAACUGAUAGUCGCGUUCAAAACUGCCACUCUUGAGUGCAGUAGAGGUAGGCGGAAUUCCUAGUGUAGCGGUGAAAUGCGUAGAUAUUGGGAGGAACACCAGUGGCGAAGGCGCCUUUCUGGACUGUGUCUGACGCUGAGAUGCGAAAGCCAGGGUAGCGAACGGG